RNAcentral lists this ribosomal RNA (465 nucleotides) under uncultured bacterium. RNAcentral describes it as "partial 16S ribosomal RNA". It matches the Rfam family "Bacterial small subunit ribosomal RNA", at positions 338 to 795 of the family's 1533-position model. The record is from RNAcentral.
CCUACGGGUGGCAGCAGUGGGGAAUAUUGCGCAAUGGGCGAAAGCCUGACGCAGCGACGCCGCGUGAGGGAUGAAGGUCUUCGGAUCGUAAACCUCUGUCAGCAGGGAAGAACGGUCACUGUGCUAAUCAGCAGUGAAUUGACGGUACCUGCAAAGGAAGCACCGGCUAACUCCGUGCCAGCAGCCGCGGUAAUACGGAGGGUGCGAGCGUUAAUCGGAAUUACUGGGCGUAAAGCGCUCGUAGGCGGUAUGUCAAGUCAAGGGUGAAAUCCCCGCGCUCAACGUGGGAACUGCCUUUGAAACUGGCAAACUGGAGUGUGGGAGAGGAUGGUGGAAUUCCAGGUGUAGGAGUGAAAUGCGUAGAUAUCUGGAGGAACAUCAGUGGCGAAGGCGACUAUCUGGCACAUAACUGACGCUGAGGAGCGAAAGCGUGGGUAGCAAACAGGAUUAGAUACCCGAGUAGUC